UGGGGAAUAUUGGACAAUGGGCGCAAGCCUGAUCCAGCAAUGCCGCGUGUGUGAAGAAGGCCUUCGGGUUGUAAAGCACUUUUAUCAGGAGCGAAACGCUGUCGGCUAAUACCCGGCGGAACUGACGGUACCUGAGGAAUAAGCACCGGCUAACUUCGUGCCAGCAGCCGCGGUAAUACGAAGGGUGCAAGCGUUAAUCGGAAUUACUGGGCGUAAAGCGUGCGUAGGCGGUUUCUUAAGUCUGCUGUGAAAUCCCCGGGCUCAACCUGGGAAUGGCAGUGGAUACUGGGAGGCUAGAGUGUGUCAGAGGGUGGUGGAAUUCCCGGUGUAGCGGUGAAAUGCGUAGAGAUCGGGAGGAACAUCAGUGGCGAAGGCGGCCACCUGGGACAACACUGACGCUGAGGCACGAAAGCGUGGGGAGCAAACAGGAUUAGAUACCCUGGUAGUCCACGCCCUAAAAGCGAUGCGAACUGGAUGUUGGUCUCAACUCGGAGAUCAGUGUCGAAGCUAACGCGUUAAGUUCGCCGCCUGGGGGAGUACGGUCGCAAGACUGAAACUCAAAUGAAUUGAC
RNAcentral lists this ribosomal RNA (571 nucleotides) under uncultured bacterium. RNAcentral's name for it is "partial 16S ribosomal RNA". It matches the Rfam family "Bacterial small subunit ribosomal RNA", at positions 355 to 914 of the family's 1533-position model. The record is from RNAcentral.